This 253-nucleotide ribosomal RNA is filed under the name uncultured bacterium. RNAcentral describes it as "partial 16S ribosomal RNA". It matches the Rfam family "Bacterial small subunit ribosomal RNA", at positions 524 to 776 of the family's 1533-position model. The record is from RNAcentral.
UACGGAGGAUGCGAGCGUUAUCCGGAUUUAUUGGGUUUAAAGGGAGCGUAGAUGGAUGUUUAAGUCAGUUGUGAAAGUUUGCGGCUCAACCGUAAAAUUGCAGUUGAUACUGGGUGUCUUGAGUACAGUAGAGGCAGGCGGAAUUCGUGGUGUAGCGGUGAAAUGCUUAGAUAUCACGAAGAACUCCGAUUGCGAAGGCAGCCUGCUGGACUGUAACUGACAUUGAGGCUCGAAAGUGUGGGUAUCAAACAGG